GGCUUAUAUUGGCAAGAUACACCCUGGUGAUGCUUGUGGCAGGCAUUUGGAUUGGGCUUUCUAUAAUAUUUUAUUAUAUGAAUAUAUCAGAAUUGAUUUACCAACACUACCUUUCCUGGUUGUCUGGGUUACUCAUAAGUUCUUGAUAUUAUGAACUGUGCUUUUAUGAACAUUCUUACAUUUAUGCAGUUUUAUCCAUGUGCAAUCUAGGAGUGAAAUUGUUAGGUUAAGGGUUAUAUUCAACUUUAGGGGAGAGUGUCAAACUAUUUUUUUAAAUUUUUUUAUUGGUGCAUUAUAGUUUUAUCUAACAGAUUAUGUAUACAUGGAAUAUAAUUUUCCCAUUUCAUUCCCCAGUACUUCCUCUUUCCUUCCCCUCCUCCCUCACCUUUUAUCCUUCCUCUACUCUGCUGGCCUUCCUUUUCUUAUUGCUUCUUUUUAAGUUGGUGCUGUAUAGCUAUACAGAAAGGUGGAAUUCACUGUGGUAUAUUUGUAUGUAUUUAUACCAUAAUUUGGUCAAAUGUAUUCCAAAGUUCUUCCCUUUUCAUGUGCCUCCUCCCUCCCCCUCUACUCCACUGAUAUAUUUUCCUGGGAUCCACUCUCCUUUUUAAUUUUUUUUUUUUCUUAUUGUGCUCUAGCUUCCACAUAUGAGAAAAAAAUUAAAAAAUGGCCCUUGACUUUCUGAGCCUGGCUUAUUUCACUUAACAUGAUGUUCUCCAAUUUCAUCCAUUCAUUCAAUUACCAGUAAAUGCCAUCAUUUCAUUCUCCUUUAUAGCUGAGUAAAACUUGCUUGCAUAGAUAUACCACAUUUUCUUCAUUUAUUCAUGUGUUGACAGGCACAUGGGCUGGUUCCAUAACUAAGUUAUUGUGAAUUGUGUUGCAAUAAAUGUUGAUGUAGCUGAAUACCUAUAGUGUGCUGAUUUUAGAUCUUUUGGAUAAAUAUCAAGGAGUAAGAUAACUGGAUCAUCUGCUGAUUCCUUUGAGGAAUAUCCAUUGUGCUUUCCAAAGUGCUUGUACUAAUUCGAAGUCCCACUGACAAUGUCUGAGUGUACUUUUCCCCACCAGGUGCAUGGAGCCUGGUGGAGGAAGUGUGUUCCCGGGAAGUGUGUGUAGAGGGCCAGUGAGAUUUUGGGAAUAAAGGUUGCUGUUUGAACCUACAAGGCUGUGUUAUUUUGUGCCCAGCCAGACUGCGGCAGGGUACAUGGGAAUUUAUGGUAUAAUUUUUCCCCUAUGGCUGGGAACUGAACCUAGGACCUCAUACUCUACGUAAGCACUACUAUGCUCUAACACUGAGUCUCACUGUACAGCCCUGUAUAAUGUUUAUAUAAGUUUGAAAAUUAUAAUAUGCAGGUUGAGGGGGGUUGAUGUAAAAUGAAAUUUUUUUAUAAAAAAUGCUGAAAGCAUAUUCCUAUCAGUAACAACCAAAACUAAACAUUGUCUAAAGCUAUGAAAUUUUCUGGUAAAAGCUACUGAAACUUUUUUGUUUUAAUGAAUAUCCAAACUGACUAAUGUUGGCCAGUGUUUCAUUCUGGAAAACUAAUUUGAUAAAUGAGCAUUCAUAAAUUAAUUCC
Molecule: long non-coding RNA, 1568 nt
Filed under: Marmota monax (woodchuck)
Lineage: Eukaryota; Metazoa; Chordata; Mammalia; Rodentia; Sciuridae
Source: RNAcentral